Molecule: ribosomal RNA, 446 nt
Filed under: uncultured bacterium
Lineage: Bacteria
Description: partial 16S ribosomal RNA
Rfam family: Bacterial small subunit ribosomal RNA
Source: RNAcentral
CCUACGGGUGGCAGCAGUCGAGAAUCAUUCACAAUGGGGGAAACCCUGAUGGUGCGACGCCGCGUGGGGGAAUGAAGGUCUUCGGAUUGUAAACCCCUGUCAUGUGGGAGCAAAUUAAAAAGAUAGUACCACAAGAGGAAGAGACGGCUAACUCUGUGCCAGCAGCCGCGGUAAUACGGAGGUCUCAAGCGUUGUUCGGAAUCACUGGGCGUAAGGCGUGCGUAGGCUGUUUCGUAAGUCGUGUGUGAAAGGCGCGGGCUCAACCCGCGGACGGCACAUGAUACUGCGAGACUAGAGUAAUGGAGGGGGAAGCGGAAUUCUCGGUGUAGCAGUGAAAUGCGUAGAUAUCGAGAGGAACACUCGUGGCGAAGGCGGGUUCCUGGACAUUAACUGACGCUGAGGCACGAAGGCCAGGGGAGCGAAAGGGAUUAGAUACCCCAGUAGUC